UACGGAGGAUCCGAGCGUUAUCCGGAUUUAUUGGGUUUAAAGGGUGCGCAGGCGGGAUGUUAAGUCGGCGGUGAAAUUUUGCAGCUCAACUGUAAAAGUGCCUUCGAUACUGGCUUUCUUGAGUGUGGGUGAAGUAGGCGGAAUUUGUGGUGUAGCGGUGAAAUGCUUAGAUAUCACGAGGAACUCCGAUUGCGCAGGCAGCUUACUAAACCACUACUGACGCUCAUGCACGAAAGCGUGGGGAUCAAACAGGAUUAGAUACCCCCGUA
RNAcentral lists this ribosomal RNA (269 nucleotides) under uncultured prokaryote. Its description in RNAcentral is "partial 16S ribosomal RNA". It matches the Rfam family "Bacterial small subunit ribosomal RNA", at positions 524 to 792 of the family's 1533-position model. The record is from RNAcentral.